UGAAAUAGUCAUAAGCUUCACUCGAGUGUC
This 30-nucleotide non-coding RNA is filed under the name Mus musculus (house mouse). The record is from RNAcentral. Lineage: Eukaryota; Metazoa; Chordata; Mammalia; Rodentia; Muridae.